Molecule: non-coding RNA, 299 nt
Organism: Musa acuminata subsp. malaccensis (wild Malaysian banana)
Lineage: Eukaryota; Viridiplantae; Streptophyta; Magnoliopsida; Zingiberales; Musaceae
Source: RefSeq, a predicted model, not a curated record
UACUUCAUAGGGUUCCCGCCCGCGCUCCCGACGUGAUCGAUCUCGGUUCACCCAAAGAACUCGAAUCAUCGAAGGUGCCCGCAUCUUUUCCGCAUCGUCCAUCCUCCGAAGCUUCGAUCUUUCACACGGAAUCCGUCGUCGCUGAAGGGUUAUGGCUCGAUGGCUGUGGCUAAAGUUGUUGGUUUUGAUUGGAUUAUUUGCUUUUUCCGGGGGAAGAGAAAUUAAGAUCAAGUAUGAGGAUGAUGCUCCUCUCUACAAUCGUACGCUCGCCAAGAUACUCGUGGAAUAUGCUUCUGCUG